GGCCAUGCGGCGGCUAUAAUGCAGUCGACGGAGAUGUAGCAAUACGUCUUAGUGGCGAACGGGUGAGUAACGCGUUGGUGACCUACCCCGAAGUGCGGGAUAACAGUCCGAAAGGGCUGCUAAUACCGCAUGUGGUUAUCGGUUUUGGAAUCUGAUAACUAAAGGAGCAAUUCGCUUCGGGAGGGACCUGCGUCCCAUCAGCUAGUUGGUGAGGUAGUGGCUCACCAAGGCGACGACGGGUAAGGGGCCUGAGAGGGUGGCCCCUCACAAUGGAACUGAAACACGGUCCAUACACCUACGGGUGGCAGCAGUAGGGAAUAUUGGUCAAUGGGCGAAAGCCUGAACCAGCAACGCCGCGUGUACGAUGAAGGUCUUCGGAUCGUAAAGUACUUUUCUGGGAGAUGAGAAAGGACAGUAUCCCAGGAAUAAGCCUCGGCUAACUACGUGCCAGCAGCCGCGGUAAAACGUAGGAGGCAAGCGUUAUCCGGAUUUACUGGGCGUAAAGCGCGUGCAGGCGGUUCGGCAAGUUGGAUGUGAAAGCUCCUGGCUCAACUAGGAGAGGUCGUUCAAUACUACCGAACUUGAGGGCAACAGAGGAAGGUGGAAUUCCCGGUGUAGUGGUGAAAUGCGUAGAUAUCGGGAGGAACACCAGUGGCGAAAGCGACCUUCUGGGUUGUUCCUGACGCUCAGACGCGAAAGCUAGGGUAGCAAACGGGAUUAGAGACCCCGGUAGUCCUAGCAGUAAACGAUGUAGACUUGGCGUCGGUGGUGUCAAAACCAUCGGUGUCGAAGCUAACGCGAUAAGUCUACCGCCUGGGGACUACGGCCGCAAGGUUAAAACUCAAAGGAAUUGACGG
RNAcentral lists this ribosomal RNA (857 nucleotides) under uncultured Chloroflexota bacterium. RNAcentral's name for it is "bacterial SSU rRNA". It matches the Rfam family "Bacterial small subunit ribosomal RNA", at positions 34 to 916 of the family's 1533-position model. The record is from RNAcentral. Lineage: Bacteria; Bacillati; Chloroflexota.